CUGGUUUGGACUCGUAUUUUCUAUGGAAUAACAGUCCAGCGAACUCUAGUGUUGAAAACCCGAGGGGACCACGGGUUUAGAACGGCAUCACCUCCGCCUCUUUUCUCCUUCGAUCGUCUAUGCCUCGCUUCCUCUCUCCUUCGAUCAUCUACGCCCCUGCCUCCGCCUCUUUUCUCCUUCGAUCGUGUAUGACUCCUCCUUGGCUCUUCUCCUCAUCUCUUCAUCUCUUUUUCUUCGUUACCUUGAUGAUUGAUUACUGUAGUAGGUGAUCUUGAGUUUUUCAUAAGCUGGUGAGCAACACCUAUCUUUCUCCAAUAAUUUUCUUCUCGGUUUGUGGAUUUGUGAAAUUGGGUUACUUAUUUUUUGCUUUCUUUGUCGACAACGACACAUGCAAUUAACGUUUUCUUCCCCUCCAAUAAAAUUAUGGGCCUUUUGGGUAGUUUGAGUAGUGCUGCUGCCACUGAGUUUGAGAAUUGAGAUCAUCAAGUACAUACAUCUUUCUCUUGCAGAUAUCGGAGUUCAGAUCUUCGCCGUUGAUAUGCUCAAAUCUCUAGCUAGGUCAGUUUACACCUUAGCCUUGGGCUCUUACUAUUUCUUCAUUCUUGAUUAUAUUAUAUAUCUGUUAUGUAUGUUAAACUUUGUUGUCUGAUCAUAAUGAUAUAUAUAAUUAAGUUCCUAUAUAUAUACACACACAUAACACCUUCUUGUUAUUAAAUUACCAGUAUUUCUUGUGUUUUUCCUUUUCAAUUUGUCAAAAUCCUUGAUUUGCUUAGGGAAUUUAAAAGCGGGAAAACAUGUCUGUGAAAAUGCUCUGAAAUAAUUGGAAACAUAUUUUUAGAUUAAUCUUUUUGGUUCCUAUUCACACACCACCACAGGAACAUAAUCUCAUAUUAAUCUUUUUGGUUCCCAUUCACACACCACCACAGGAACAGAAUCUCAUAUUAAUCUUUUUGGUUCCCAAAUGUUCUCUCUCUCUCUCUCUCUCUGGACAGAUUUUUAUGAAUAUAUUCAUUAUAAGGUUUCUUGCCCUUUUUUCUUUCCAAAAAUGAUUUAGUGAUUUGUACCUUGGUCUUCUUUCUCAAGGCCAUGGUUUCGGAUAUCAGCUAUUUUAUACCCAGAAGUAUUGGAUCCUGAGCAAGUAGUGAAAGGGCUAUCUGGUAAUCUAAUACUAUCAGUUGGAUAUGCUGAAUGUUUUCUCUUCAAAAUUCCAGAUUUAGUAAGGUUGGCAUAGACUAUCAUGGCCUAAUAUAUUUUCAGUGUGUUUUAAUUACUGGCUAUUAGGGUGUUGUUUGAAACUUUGACUGAUGGGGUGGGGGAGCUUGGGCUUGGAGUUUUCUUGUUUUUGUGAAAUGGAUUUUGGAGGAUUAGGGUUUUUAGGGGAGUGUGUGAGUUUGUUUUUUGGUGGAAGAUAUGUGCAGAAGGGUUAUGAUGAUGAUGGGGGUGGGUUUUUGUGUUUUGUUAAUUCUUUUGUUUGUUGGAAGAAGAAUGGGAUAUUGUCGAUGGUUGGGGUUUUGCAGGGUGGGUUUUGGGAAAUAUCUGGUGUAGAAUUCAUGAUGUUUGUUUGUUUGUCCACAAAUCUUCUAGGGUUUAGUGUUGGAUCAACAAGUCUGAUUCAUACUAUGCAUUUUGAAUGUGCGAGCAAAGACUGCAUGUUAACUAUUUUUUUUGGGUGAUUAAUUGGAGAUUAUGAACAUCAGUUUCAAGUGCUGGUCCUUAUUACUAUCAGUUUAAAAUAUUUUUUCAAGUCUUAUGUGUGAGUUGGGUUCAAAAGCAAUUUUCUAAAAUCAUAUUUUAUUUUUAUUUUUAAUUAUGAAAAGUUUUUGUGUCAGUUGCUUUGAUCUGUUGUUUUAUGUUUUGAAAAUCUUCUUGUUACAAUUUUUAUUUGAAUAUUUUGCUGUUCUGACCUAGGAUGAUUGCAUCCGCUUGUUUGAGGUGGAACUGAGACCCUGUUUUCAGGGAGAACCCCUCGAUGAAGCUACAUUUCAUAUGACAUCAAUGGAUUUAACUGAGGUUUUUAAUCUGAAUUAUUGCAUCAAAAUCCAGUGUUUGUGUGUUUGGUUUUUGUAUAAUAAGAUUAGGUGCUAAGGAUGUUACAAUCCAACGUGUUUGAGGUGUAGAGGAAGCGAGAUAUGAGGUUCAUAUUUGUCUAACCGGGUUGGGAGGGUUCAGCAUUAGACUCUAUAGUUCUUAGAGAUGCGAUAUAUAGGCCAUAUGGGUUAAAGGUUCCGACGGGUAAGAUUAAUGUAUAUCAUAUAGUGUAGGUGUAAAUCAUCCUAAAUUUGAAUUUUAUUUUUUAAUUAGCUCCUAUUUAUUCUUUAUGUUAUUAUUACCUUGUGGAUGUUGGUUAUACAAAUUGUGAGAGAUUUCUUGCACCCUACAAAGGAAUGAGACAUCACUUAUCGGAAUGUAGAGAAGGAUGUGCACCCUUGGACCAUCGAGAAUACUUUAACAUGAAGCAUGCAUCAGCAAGAAACGUGGUGGAACAUUGUUUUGGACUUCUUAAGAUGCGUUGGGCAAUGUUAAGGAGUCCAUUGUUCUAUCCAAUACAAACCCAAUGCGAAUAAUAACGGGCUGUUGUCUUUUACACAACUCAAUUAGGAGAGAGAUGUCUAUAGAUCCAAUGGAGCAAGAAAUUUAUUAUGAUCCCCUCACUGAGAACAAUGUAGAUCAUGGCACUAUUGAUACCAUUGCAGCAUUCGACCAAUGAUCUGCAUGGAGGGAUAAUUUGGCUACUGAGAUGUUUUAAUGAUUUGAUGGCAAAUAAAGCAACAUAACAUAAGGUGUUGAUCAUUUGAAUGUACUUAAAAGAAUUUUCGUUUUAUUAUUAAUUUUGUGAAUUUUUGGACUAUUUUUAUGGUAUCUUAU
Molecule: long non-coding RNA, 2865 nt
Filed under: Prunus dulcis (almond)
Lineage: Eukaryota; Viridiplantae; Streptophyta; Magnoliopsida; Rosales; Rosaceae
Description: sRNA ncRNA
Rfam family: Small nucleolar RNA Z278 (bases 1903-2012)
Source: RNAcentral